RNAcentral lists this ribosomal RNA (402 nucleotides) under bacterium. Its description in RNAcentral is "partial 16S ribosomal RNA". It matches the Rfam family "Bacterial small subunit ribosomal RNA", at positions 355 to 776 of the family's 1533-position model. The record is from RNAcentral.
UGGGGAAUUUUGCACAAUGGGGGAAACCCUGAUGCAGCGACGCCGCGUGAUUUAGAAGGCCUUCGGGUUGUAAAAAUCUUUUCUAUGGGAAGAAAAUGACAGUACCAUAGGAAUAAGGACCGGCUAAUUACGUGCCAGCAGCCGCGGUAAUACGUAAGGUCCGAGCGUUGUCCGGAAUCAUUGGGCGUAAAGGGUACGUAGGCGGGUAAGCAAGUUAGAAGUGAAAUCCUAUAGCUCAACUAUAGUAAGCUUUUAAAACUGCUCAUCUUGAGGUAUGGAAGGGAAAGUGGAAUUCCAAGUGUAGCGGUGAAAUGCGCAGAUAUUAGGAGGAAUACCGGUGGCGAAGGCGACUUUCUGGCCAUAACCUGACGCUGAGGUACGAAAGCGUAGGUAGCAAACAGG